CUUUUCGACCUGCCUCCUUUCAAUUAUUGAACUGUGGGUAUUUGAGAGUCUCCUACUUUUAAUACAACAUCCUGGGAGAAAUGAAGAUGUUGUCAGAUAACCCUGGUGACAUGCUUUGUAAGAGUACUGGAAAACAGCUUCAGGGAGCUAAAGGAGCUGGUGAGCCUGCUGUUCUUGAGAGAAGGGAAUCAAGAUUUCCAGGGUGAGCAUGAAUGGAGAGGGAAAUGCUUUCACUUGAAAGAUGUGCAACGUUGAAGAAUUUCCUAUCUGGUCUUUUAUGGAGAUGUACACCCUCAAUGCCAGAUGAGAAAGCAUGAUGAAGCAUCAGAGAG
Molecule: long non-coding RNA, 332 nt
Organism: Gopherus flavomarginatus (Mexican gopher tortoise)
Lineage: Eukaryota; Metazoa; Chordata; Testudines; Testudinidae
Exons: 3
Source: RefSeq, a predicted model, not a curated record